GAUGAACGCUGGCGGCAUGCCUAAUACAUGCAAGUCGAGCGAGAAGCUUGGAAAUGACGCUUCGGUUGAUUUUCCAAGCGGACAGCGGCGGACGGGUGAGUAACGCGUAGGCAACCUGCCCCUGACAGAGGGAUAGCCAUUGGAAACGAUGAUUAAAACCUCAUGACACCGUAGUAGCACAUGCUACAUCGGUCAAAGAUUUAUCGGUCAGGGAUGGGCCUGCGUCUGAUUAACUGGUUGGUGAGGUAACGGCUCACCAAGGUGACGAUCAGUAGCCGACCUGAGAGGGUGAUCGGCCACAUUGGAACUGAGACACGGUCCAAACUUCUACGGAAGGCAGCAGUAGGGAAUCUUGCACAAUGGGCGAAAGCCUGAUGCAGCAACGCCGCGUGAAUGGAUGAAGGCCUUCGGGUUGUAAACUUCUG
Molecule: ribosomal RNA, 425 nt
Filed under: Mogibacterium timidum
Lineage: Bacteria; Bacillati; Bacillota; Clostridia; Peptostreptococcales; Anaerovoracaceae
Description: bacterial SSU rRNA
Rfam family: Bacterial small subunit ribosomal RNA
Source: RNAcentral